GUGGGGAAUAUUGGACAAUGGGCGAAAGCCUGAUCCAGCCAUGCCGCGUGUGUGAAGAAGGUCUUCGGAUUGUAAAGCACUUUAAGUUGGGAGGAAGGGCAGUAAGUUAAUACCUUGCUGUUUUGACGUUACCGACAGAAUAAGCACCGGCUAACUUCGUGCCAGCAGCCGCGGUAAUACGAAGGGUGCAAGCGUUAAUCGGAAUUACUGGGCGUAAAGCGCGCGUAGGUGGUUUUGUAAGUUGGAGGUGAAAUCCCCGGGCUCAACCGGGGAACUGCCUCCAAAACUGCAUGACUAGAGUACGGUAGAGGGUAGUGGAAUUUCCUGUGUAGCGGUGAAAUGCGUAGAUAUAGGAAGGAACACCAGUGGCGAAGGCGACUACCUGGACUGAUACUGACACUGAGGUGCGAAAGCGUGGGGAGCAAACAGGAUUAGAAACCCGGGUAGUCC
RNAcentral lists this ribosomal RNA (450 nucleotides) under uncultured bacterium. Its description in RNAcentral is "bacterial SSU rRNA". It matches the Rfam family "Bacterial small subunit ribosomal RNA", at positions 354 to 796 of the family's 1533-position model. The record is from RNAcentral.